AGAGAAGCGAGAUAGUGAUAUUAAGCGAAACUCAAAAAGACGGUCUCAGUUCGGACUGAAGGCUGAAAUUCGCCUUCACGAAGUCGGAAUUGCUAGUAAUCGCGGAUCAGAAUGCCGCGGUGAAUACGUUCCCGGGUCUUGUACACACCNCCCGUCACACCAUGGGAGUCAGUAACGCCCGAAGUCAGUGACCUAACCGAAAGGGAGGAGCUGCCGAAGGCGGGACGGAUGACUGGGGUGAAGUCGUAACAAGGUAGC
RNAcentral lists this ribosomal RNA (258 nucleotides) under uncultured bacterium. Its description in RNAcentral is "partial 16S ribosomal RNA". It matches the Rfam family "Bacterial small subunit ribosomal RNA", at positions 1243 to 1500 of the family's 1533-position model. The record is from RNAcentral.